RNAcentral lists this transfer RNA (73 nucleotides) under Operophtera brumata (winter moth). It matches the Rfam family "tRNA". Rfam says of the family: Transfer RNA (tRNA) molecules are approximately 80 nucleotides in length. Their secondary structure includes four short double-helical elements and three loops (D, anti-codon, and T loops). The record is from Rfam by way of RNAcentral. Lineage: Eukaryota; Metazoa; Arthropoda; Insecta; Lepidoptera; Geometridae.
UGUUCUAUUGUCGAAUUGGUAAAGGCAUCGUAGAUCACAGGCGAAGUUUCGGGUUCGAGUCCCGCUGGAACGG